This 4373-nucleotide long non-coding RNA is filed under the name Homo sapiens (human). RNAcentral describes it as "HSALNT0400122". Lineage: Eukaryota; Metazoa; Chordata; Mammalia; Primates; Hominidae. The record is from RNAcentral.
UCUCAGCCAUGGUUGCAUACCUUCCAAGCUCCACCGCCUCUUCUUCCUCGUGGGCAGAUCCCUGAUUUUGUGUAGGACAGCACUUGAAAUGUAUUUGUGUGCUCAACAUUGGUUUCCUCUCUGGAACCUGGGAUCACUUCAGGGGUGGACACGUGGCCCAACCAUGACUGAUGAGACAUGCGGGGAAAUCUGCAGAGGCAACUUCUAGGAAAGGUUGGGCUCUUGCAGCCACCCUGUGACUAUGAGGUGAGAAGCUUGUCCAGUGUGAUAGCUGAUCCACUGAAGAUGACAAGGAAAACAGCAGAAAGGAACCAGGCUACUUGAUCAUAGUGAGAGCUGAUAAGGCAGCCAAUCUGAAUUUCUUUCUACGUAAAACAAUUAACAUUAGUGUUUCAUUGCAUUUUCUAUUGCUUGCAGCCAAAAAUACUCUAACCACUGUCCUUGGGCAAAUUACUGACCUCUUUAAGCCUUGAUUUUCUCAUCUCUGAGAGAUGAACACAAGAGUUUGUAUUUCAUUGAAUGAGAUAAGGUAAUGAUAAGAAUAAGAAAUAUUUAUGCUGCACUUACUAUGUGCUCAACUCUGUUCAAAACAGUUUACUCAUUUAACAUACGUAUCAUGCUUAGCCUAGGAUCCUGAACCUUUUAUGUUCUCAAACUUACCCUUAUAAUCAUUGCUAUUGCAGGAACUAGGCUAUUAAUUCAGACCUUCUGUUCCUAGACAUUUUACCAACAGUGAAAGUAAACUUUCACUCCUCCCACCACCCCACAAGGAAAAUUACAGGAGCAUUUGAAAACAUUUUUGAAACUCAAAUGCUCUCACAAUUGAAUGACACAGGAAUCAAUACUUAGAAAACUCUGCCUUUUCAGUGUUCAGAGUAUAAUGCAUAUUUUUAAAAAUAGACUCAAUACAAGUUCUUGCAAAUCUAUUUGGAAGCGAAAAGAGCUCAUUAUAACAAUGGUUCUGGAUGGAUUACAAACUUCUCAGUUUAGAAAUGGGUUUUUGUUUUGUUAGUACACCAUGCUCUCUACUAUUAUUUACUGCAUAGUUUGAGUCACUCACUAGUCAAUUUCUCAACGCUUUGUCAAGGACUAUGAAGGGCUGAAGAUUUACUCUACUUGAGAACGAACCAGGUAACCUCCCACAAUUUCACAGAUGCUAGCAGAAGACAGGGCACUCCUCGGUUAGACACCUAGGGCUUCAUUACUUAGGGCCCAGCAGUCAGUGUGGGCACCAGUUCCCCUUACCCCUCUUCCCAUUCCCACAGCUCAUGGUAUGUGGGUGGGUCCACGUGGACACUGCACAGAAUUGAGGAACCUUGCAUUUAAGAAGACUUAAUCUUACAAGGGGCUGAUAGCAAACUUUCCCAAACCUUGUCCCAGAGAAAGAUAUUGUCUUUAUCAUCCUGAUCUGAAUACUAAUCUUCCCUCUGUAGAAGGAGACAGUAUCUCUGUUUCCUAAGGCUCUUGCUGGACAAACAUCUUUGAAAGGACAGUUCAGAGGAGAUGCUGUCAGAGUCUUAGCUCACAAGAUGUGCAGAAAUGGAAAGGCCAUGGAGAAUUGUCUCCCAACACUGGGAAACCACUCAGUCUCACUCACCUCUACCAUGCUUUUUCAGUGUACCCUAUUUUUUUUCUCAGCAAAGCUGCUUGCUAUAUUUGCAUUUGGCUCUGAGCUGACCCCAACCUCAAGUGUUACCUCUUGGUCAUCCACCACUUUCUGAAUAAAUUAUAUUCAGUGGUCCAAGUUCAGAUGACGAGGGAAGGGAAUCUGAUGGAUCCAGCUUGGGUCCAGUAUCCAGGCCUGGUUCAAUUAGUGUCAUCAGGGGUCAGUGCCAUUUAACACACUUUGCCCACCCUCUGUGGAUGGGCAGGAGUGGGUAGAGUCCUGUAGGGUAAGGACAGGGAGACAGCCUUGGUAAAAGUUCAUUUAACAAGGAUGGAUUGCAUAACUGGUUUCAUCAUUGUUAGUAGCAGUAGUCUCUCUAUAAAUCUUAUAAAUCACUUAUAUUGAAAAAAGUCAUCAAGCAUGACUCAAAUAACUUCAGCAGAAAACAGUCACCCUAAUAAAGUCAUUUAAUUAUAUAUGUCUAUAUAUUCUGAAUAUUCAGCGAAGUGGAUUAUGCCACCGGCUGAGUGUAUCCAGAGUGAUGCUUGACAGCUCCUUUUAUUGCUAAUGGCUCACAGAGUUUAUGCCCUUUAGGAAGUGCCAGAAUCAUUAGUACUGUCACUGAAAUGUGCUGUUAAUGUAAAUUCUACUCAGAAAAAUGGAACAGCAAUUGCAAAACCAGCAGCUGGAGAAUGGGCAGCCCAGUGAGGAAAGAUCAAUGGGAGAAAGGCUUGUAACUUUCUCCCAUUUUCUAGAAAUUUGUGACUUUCUAGAAAACGAAGCCAGUCUCAACAGUGCCUCCAAGGACCUGAAGCUUCUCCAAGUGCUGUUUUGAAUGGGAAGGCAGGAGUCGGAACUGGCCAUCCAGGACUGUCUACAUGGCCUCUCUCUCUUCUCAUCUUCCUCUAAGAAAUUUCUCCAGUUUUUCAAUCUUGACCUCUCAGAAAAAAGAGAUUCUGAUCUUGUGAACUGAUGCUGCAUGUUGAAUGAGUUUUCAUCCUGCAUGAUACUUCAUGGAUUUAUUUGCAUUUUAAUUAUUCUUUUAUACAAAAGAGCCAUAGAAAAGAAAAGUCUGACCCAAGUUUUGUCAAGAUAAAGCAGAGUAUGGGAAGUGGGCAACUGUGAGAACUUGGUUAGAGCCAGUCUGUAUAGUUUAGUAUUUAAUGGGGAAGUUUGGGGUGUGGGAAAUGGGACCUAUUUCCUUUGCUCUUGAGGUUAGGUUGAGCCAUCUGGCUCCCUGCCCUGCAGUUCCCAUAACUGAAGAGUUAUACAUCCCAUAACCCCUGCCCACUAGUGAACCCCUUCCUCAGCUCUGGGACUGAUUGUCUUCAAGCUGAGCACACACUGAGCACUGGGCCUGCCUUCUUCCUAACACAGGUUUUUGUAAGCUCCAGACAUUGGAUAAAGCAUUUUGAGGGAUAGGUGAAAACGAAAUCCUGCCCUUUACUCUUGAGAACUCACUCUGCUGUGGGAGGAGAGACAGGCAGCAUUCUGACCACAAUGCCAGAAGACAAUACGGAAUUACUCAGUACAUGAAGCACCAGGAAGAUGACAACAGAAGAGAGAGGACCCAGACAUUGGAAUCAGCAGCCACCAGGUGCAAUCUCCAACAUGUGCGGGCUUUGGGAAAACACAAUCGGGCAAGUGAAGUUUGUUGCAGACAAGUUCUUCUUCCCCUCUGCCACAACCUCCUCCAAGGUUACAGGGAGAGCACCCUGUCUGUGAAGAAGCAGGUUCUCAUCUGAUACCAAAUCUGCUGGCACCUUGAUCUUGGACUUCCCAGACUCCAGGACUGAAGAUCACAGAUUGACAUCAGCAGGAAAACUUGCCAGGCAGCAGGAGGAUCCAUUUGAAAACUCACGAGAAAAAGGCCCUUGAGGCCUUUUUCCUGGUUAUUGAAGACAUCUUAGGAAACACUUAUGGUGACAAUUAAUCAAGCAAAAAUAGAUCCAGUUUUUCUGAAGAUCAAGCUUAACAUGUGUGCCAUGCUUUAAAAUGUCUUUCCAGGCACUCUCUCCUGCCCACGGAUCUUGCUUGGGAAAGGAAUGGGGCAAGUGGAAAUGGCCAUUUCUUAGAUGAACACAUCAGGGACUUGCUCCAGUCUGAAGUCUAUACAGAGCUAGGCUUUGAAUCCAGUCACGUAACUCAGGUGUGUGUUCAGAGCUUGACGGAUUACCACCAGGCUGGGCCAACAGGGUCGUUUUCAAGUCAGCUAGCCCUAAAAGGGCAAAAAAUUGUUGCAAUGCUCCCAGAUGUAACUCUGACCUGGUAUGGUUCAGGGACGAGGCCACUCACACACACUUGGGCAACUGCUCUUCUCGUGACCAGCCUCUUUCUGUGGGAAUCACUCCAUGGAGCCACCGUCUCUCCCAAGCUACAAUGUUCUACAAUGGUGCAAGUGGGGGAAAAAUUUCAACAAAAUUUUGGAUAUCAGCUGCUUUAUGAAGGCAUGAUUUAUAAUGAUUUAUUAUAAAAUGAUGGUGUUUUAAUGCUCUUUUUAUUGGUUUUCUAACAGUCGUGGAAACACCAUCAGGAGGAUAUAGCUAGACUCUGGGGGAAAUGUCCACACAUACGGUGCUCAAUCUAUCCUUUCACUGACUCCACAUCUAUAGAUUUCAUAGGGGGUCUUCCCACGGCUUCUCGGGAAUGGGCCAAAGGUCAUCUUCUGUGCUUAAGAUUUGAUAAUUUAAAAAUUGUAAUGCUUAAUUGUGUUUCAAAGCAUCAAGAUAUCAAGACCUGAGAAUAACCAAAUUGAAAUGUCCCCAUG